GCAAUUCGACAUGAUCUGAUUUGUUGAUUAUCUUGUUUUUGGUUUGUGAUUAAUUAAUUGUUUAUUAAAGAAUUAUUUUGUUGUUGUAUUUUUUUUGAUUUAAUUUUUUUACUAUAGUAUAUUUGUACCGUAAGGGGUUGUGAUGGUUUAAUGUUUUUUUGGAAGCUGAUUUUUUUUGUCGUACCUUGUGUAUCAGGGUUCAUUGAAUUUUAUUAUUUAUUUUUAUUUCCCGAUUUUAAAGGAGUUAAUGACUUAUAUUAGUUACUGUUUCAUUAGUAUUAAUAAUAGGUUGUUGGUAGUGAAAUGUUAUUCGUCUUUAGUGGUUUCUGGUUUUUCAAGAAAUGAAUUUAAUUCAUACAUCUUAUUUAAUUUCUGUUGUUGAUUUAUUUGGGGAUUUUUAUUUGAUGUUAAGAUUGAGGGGGAUUAGCUCCUUGUUUUAAUUCUUAUAAUAGGUUUAUGUUUAAUUUAGUUUUGUGGAUUUUAUGGUGAUUUUCUAUUUGAUUAUGUUAAAAUUUUAUUUAUUCUUUUAUUUCUUUUUUGUUGUUUAAGUUAUUUAUUGAAAUGUUUUCUUUAGUUUUGUUUUGUAUAAUAAUUAUUGUGUAAUUAGUAAAUUUUUUUUGUUGUUUUGUUUUUACUAUAAAUGUUGAUUGUUUUUGAGGAAUUCGGCAAAAUUUUUAUGUCCGCCUGUUUAACAAAAACAUCUUUUCUUGUUAGUUUUUGAAGUAUGGCCUGCCCACUGACAUUUAGUUGUUGAAGGGCCGCGGUAUUUUGACCGUGCAAAGGUAGCAUAAUCAUUAGUUCUUUAAUUGUGAUCUGGUAUGAAUGGCUUGACGAGACAUAAGCUGUCUUAAGGAUAUUGUUUAUUGAAUUUGGUUUUUGAGUUAAAAUUCUUAAAUGUUUUUAUGGGACGAGAAGACCCUAUAGAGUUUGACAGUUUUCUUAUUUAUUUAUUGUUUGUUUGGGUUUAGUAUUAAUUAAUAAAAUUGUUUUGUUGGGGUGAUGGGAGGAAAUUAUUUAACUCCUCUUUUUUUUGUUUAUAUUUAUUUAUAUUUUUUUGAUCCAUUUAUUUUGAUUAUAAGAUUAAAUUACCUUAGGGAUAACAGCGUUAUCCUCCUUGAGAGUUCUUAUUGGCAGGAGGGGUUGCGACCUCGAUGUUGGAUUAAGAUGAAUUUUCGGUGCAGGAGCUGAAAUUGAUUGGGUCUGUUCGACCUUUAAAAUCUUACAUGAUCUGAGUUCAGACCGGCGUGAGCCAGGUUGGUUUCUAUCUAUAAAAUUGCUUUAUAUCUUAGUACGAGAGGACCGGGUAUUUGAAAUAAUUUCAGUCAUAUAUUGGUUUUUGUUAAUGUGAUACUAUUUUGGCAGAUAAGUGCAU
This 1372-nucleotide ribosomal RNA is filed under the name Coatitermes kartaboensis. RNAcentral describes it as "16S ribosomal RNA". The stretch from base 899 to 1273 matches the Rfam family "Bacterial large subunit ribosomal RNA", at positions 2071 to 2649 of the family's 2925-position model. The record is from RNAcentral. Lineage: Eukaryota; Metazoa; Arthropoda; Insecta; Blattodea; Termitidae.